Molecule: ribosomal RNA, 484 nt
Filed under: uncultured bacterium
Lineage: Bacteria
Description: partial 16S ribosomal RNA
Rfam family: Bacterial small subunit ribosomal RNA
Source: RNAcentral
AUUGAACGCUGGCGGCAUGCUUUACACAUGCAAGUCGAACGGCAGCGCGGGCUUCGGCCUGGCGGCGAGUGGCGAACGGGUGAGUAAUGCAUCGGAACGUGCCCAGUAGUGGGGGAUAGCCCGGCGAAAGCCGGAUUAAUACCGCAUACGACCUGCGGGUGAAAGCGGGGGACCGAAGGGCCUCGUGCUAUUGGGGCGGCCGAUGUCGGAUUUGCUAGUUGGUGGGGUAAAGGCUUACCAAGGCGUCGAUCCGUAGCUGGUCUGAGAGGACGACCAGCCACACUGGGACUGAGACACGGCCCAGACUCCUACGGGAGGCAGCAGUGGGGAAUUUUGGACAAUGGGGGCAACCCUGAUCCAGCCAUGCCGCGUGCGGGAAGAAGGCCUUCGGGUUGUAAACCGCUUUUGUUCGGGAAGAAAUCCUCUGGGCUAAUACCCCGGGGGGAUGACGGUACCGGAAGAAUAAGCACCGGCUAACUACGUG